GACGAACGCUGGCGGCGUGCUUAACACAUGCAAGUCGAACGGAAAGGCCCUGCUCUUGUGGGGUGCUCGUGUGGCGAACGGGUGUGUAACACGUGUGUAACCUCCCCUUGUCUGUGUGAUAUCUUCAGGAAACUGGGGCUAAUACCGGAUAGGAUCUCCUGCUGCAUGGUGGGGGUUGGAGAGUGUCGGCGGUAGUGGAUGGACUCGCGGCUUAUAGGCUUGUUGGUGGGGUAGUGGCGUACCAAGGUUUUGACGGGUAGCCGGCCUGGGAGGGGUACCGGCCACAUGGGGACUGAGAUAGGCCGCAGACUGCUACGGGAGGCAGCAGUGGGGAAUAUGGCACAAUGGGGGGAAGCCUGAUGCGGCAACGCCGGGUGCGGGAUGACGGCCUUCGGGUGGAAAACCGCUUUGGCCUGUAACGAGGCGUGAGUGACGGUAAUGGGUAAAGAAGCACCGGCUAACUACGUG
Molecule: ribosomal RNA, 468 nt
Filed under: uncultured bacterium
Lineage: Bacteria
Description: partial 16S ribosomal RNA
Rfam family: Bacterial small subunit ribosomal RNA
Source: RNAcentral